RNAcentral lists this transfer RNA (85 nucleotides) under Deltaproteobacteria bacterium. RNAcentral's name for it is "tRNA-Leu". It matches the Rfam family "tRNA". From Rfam's summary of the family: Transfer RNA (tRNA) molecules are approximately 80 nucleotides in length. Their secondary structure includes four short double-helical elements and three loops (D, anti-codon, and T loops). Lineage: Bacteria; Pseudomonadati; Myxococcota; Myxococcia. The record is from RNAcentral.
GCGAGAGUGGCGGAAUUGGCAGACGCACUAGACUUAGGAUCUAGCGGUUUUUACCGUGGGGGUUCAAGUCCCCCCUUUCGCACCA